ACUCCUACGGGAGGCAGCAGUGGGGAAUAUUGCACAAUGGGCGCAAGCCUGAUGCAGCCAUGCCGCGUGUAUGAAGAAGGCCUUCGGGUUGUAAAGUACUUUCAGCAGUGAGGAAGGUGGGUAUGUUAAUAGCAUACUCAUUUGACGUUAGCUGCAGAAGAAGCACCGGCUAACUCCGUGCCAGCAGCCGCGGUAAUACGGAGGGGUUAGCGUUGUUCGGAAUUACUGGGCGUAAAGCGCGCGUAGGCGGACUAGAAAGUUGGGGUGAAAUCCCGGGGCUCAACCUCGGAACUGCCUUCAAACUCCUAGUCUAGAGUUCGAGAGAGGUGAGUGGAAUUCCAAGUGUAGAGGUGAAAUUCGUAGAUAUUUGGAGGAACACCAGUGGCGAAGGCGGCUCACUGGCUCGAUACUGACGCUGAGGUGCGAAAGUGUGGGGAGCAAACAGGAUUAGAUACCCUGGUAGCUACGAGU
This 471-nucleotide ribosomal RNA is filed under the name uncultured bacterium. RNAcentral describes it as "bacterial SSU rRNA". It matches the Rfam family "Bacterial small subunit ribosomal RNA", at positions 335 to 802 of the family's 1533-position model. The record is from RNAcentral.